Molecule: long non-coding RNA, 284 nt
Organism: Brassica napus (rape)
Lineage: Eukaryota; Viridiplantae; Streptophyta; Magnoliopsida; Brassicales; Brassicaceae
Exons: 2
Source: RefSeq, a predicted model, not a curated record
UUGGUGGGGAUAAGCAAAACUUAAUCUCAACCGUUGGUAAACCUUAAUCUAGGUGAUGAAAUUUCAUUGGCUAAAGGUUGCCUCGUCUUUCUUAUUUUUCUUGUUUGUCUCAUUUUCUUCUCCUUACGGUUUACACAGAUCUUCACUUCACUCUCUCUUUGUUUUUAUUUGAUUCAUCCACCAAUUCUCACCGACCUAUCUCGCCAUCCCCGACAUCUCGCGCCACCAACGUCUCGUGCCAUAUCACCAAUGAGACAACGUCAUGAAGAGGAGGAAGAAGAUCC